RNAcentral lists this long non-coding RNA (484 nucleotides) under Olea europaea subsp. europaea. Lineage: Eukaryota; Viridiplantae; Streptophyta; Magnoliopsida; Lamiales; Oleaceae. The record is from RNAcentral.
GCAUAUGUAGAAUGUAGCAUUUCAUCGACUUUGUUAUUAAUUUCAAAUUUCAAAAACUGGAACAUCAAAUACUAAGGAAACGCGAGAAAAUGAAAAGUUAUGGGGAUUAUAUGUAGCAUUUGCUCCAUGUUGUCUUUGAAGUCCUAAGACAAUAAACUCUGCAUCUUCACAACUCCAGAGCCAGAUCAUUGGUCAAAUCCUGUGCCAACUCCUUUGCAAGCUGGUAUUCUUCCAUCUUCUUAGCCUUCAAAUCCAGUACCAACUCCUUCACAAGUUCUUGUUCCACUUACUGUGCCAACUCUAGUUGUACAAUCUUCUAGUAUUUCCAUAAUACCAGUGGGAAUAGGAAGGGCUUGAGGAAGGGCAAAUCCCGAGUUACUUGAAGGAUAAUUUCUAGCUGGAUACAACAUCAAGAUACAGAAAGAAAGGAAGGUAAGUCUUAACCUCAAAAAAUGGAGAGCAGAUUGUCACGGAUCGCAAGGUC